CCUACGGGAGGCAGCAGUGAGGAAUAUUGGACAAUGGGCGCAAGCCUGAUCCAGCCAUGCCGCGUGCAGGAAGACGGUCCUAUGGAUUGUAAACUGCUUUUAUACAGGAAGAAACACACCCUCGUGAGGGAGCUUGACGGUACUGUAAGAAUAAGGAUCGGCUAACUCCGUGCCAGCAGCCGCGGUAAUACGGAGGAUCCAAGCGUUAUCCGGAAUCAUUGGGUUUAAAGGGUCCGUAGGCGGUUUAAUAAGUCAGUGGUGAAAUCUGGUCGCUCAACGAUCAAACGGCCAUUGAUACUGUUAGACUUGAAUUAUAAGGAAGUAACUAGAAUAUGUAGUGUAGCGGUGAAAUGCUUAGAUAUUACAUGGAAUACCAAUUGCGAAGGCAGGUUACUACUUAUGGAUUGACGCUGAUGGACGAAAGCGUGGGGAGCGAACAGGAUUAGAUACCCUGGUAGUCCACGCCGUAAACGAUGGAUACUAGCUGUUCGGAGCAAAUCUGAGUGGCUAAGCGAAAGUGAUAAAGUAUCCCACCUGGGGAGUAACGUUGCAAGAAAUGAAAACUUCAAAAUUGAAUUGACGG
Molecule: ribosomal RNA, 583 nt
Filed under: uncultured bacterium
Lineage: Bacteria
Description: bacterial SSU rRNA
Rfam family: Bacterial small subunit ribosomal RNA
Source: RNAcentral